RNAcentral lists this non-coding RNA (30 nucleotides) under Rattus norvegicus (Norway rat). The record is from RNAcentral. Lineage: Eukaryota; Metazoa; Chordata; Mammalia; Rodentia; Muridae.
UCAGAGAAUACAAAUAUCUGAGAGAGGAUC